Potamilus streckersoni is the source of this 72-nucleotide non-coding RNA. Lineage: Eukaryota; Metazoa; Mollusca; Bivalvia; Unionida; Unionidae. The record is from the annotation of a GenBank genome assembly.
GACUGUGGCUUUAGUGGUUAAAACUUCCCCCUCUGAUGUGGGAGGUCGCUGGUUCGAACCCAUGCCGAGUCG